This is a long non-coding RNA of Lutra lutra (Eurasian river otter), 755 nucleotides long. RefSeq lists it as uncharacterized. The record is from RefSeq and is a predicted model, not a curated record. Lineage: Eukaryota; Metazoa; Chordata; Mammalia; Carnivora; Mustelidae. The transcript is spliced from 4 exons.
UUCGAGCCUGAAGCGGGGCCUGUAACCCAGGACCCAUCACUUAUGUAGGGUGUCCAUGGCAACCAGGCAAUGGUAUGGGACCCCUUCUCACUGGGGAAUUCCUUUUAUGGCUCAUUUCCGAAACCAGCAUGGCCAGUACACGAGUCGGCAGUUUCCCAGUUGCUUAGCAACCAGCUCCAAUGCUCUAGUCACUAGGAAAAGCAGUCUUUUUUUUUUUUAAAACUGUCAUCAGAAUCAUAUGUUACAUUCUCUCUACUUUGUCUCUUUAGAAUAAAACAAUUAGUGUGUGAUAAGGACGCAGGAAAGGGCGACCGCUCCCAUCAUUAAUGCCUCCACUGCUCCUGGAGGGCCGUGGCAGGCAGGGAGAGGGAGGAAAAUGUUAGCAUGCUUUCGGCUGGUAAUUAAGCAGCGCGAGCCAUCUGCACGUUGAAAGCUCUACAUUUUUCACGUCUCGUGGGGGCAUCGAAAUUUUCCAGACUGGAGCAUAUCCCCCGUCAGCCUCCACCCUGGCUUGCUAUGGAAGCCCCUCCAGCCCCCCCGACCCCAAUCACUUAAAAUGCCUUGUGAACUCCGUUAUUCCUUUCUUGAAAUGCGUCAACCAGAACUGCACAUUCUUUGCAAAGUAAGUGCCUAAGAAACAUUGGAGGGAACGGGAUACAGAUGUCUCUGCUGUCACACCAUAUACUUGUUCUUGAGAAGCUCCCAUGGUCUACAGCAUGGACUGAUUUGAGAGAGCAAGAGAGAACACAAGCAGG